Molecule: ribosomal RNA, 401 nt
Filed under: uncultured bacterium
Lineage: Bacteria
Description: bacterial SSU rRNA
Rfam family: Bacterial small subunit ribosomal RNA
Source: RNAcentral
UGGGGAAUAUUGCACAAUGGGCGAAAGCCUGAUGCAGCAACGCCGCGUGAGCGAUGAAGGCCUUCGGGUCGUAAAGCUCUGUCCUCAAGGAAGAUAAUGACGGUACUUGAGGAGGAAGCCCCGGCUAACUACGUGCCAGCAGCCGCGGUAAUACGUAGGGGGCUAGCGUUAUCCGGAAUUACUGGGCGUAAAGGGUGCGUAGGUGGUUUCUUAAGUCAGAGGUGAAAGGCUACGGCUCAACCGUAGUAAGCCUUUGAAACUGAGAAACUGGAGUGCAGGAGAGGAGAGUAGAAUUCCUAGUGUAGCGGUGAAAUGCGUAGAUAUUAGGAGGAAUACCAGUUGCGAAGGCGGCUCUCUGGACUGUAACUGACACUGAGGCACGAAAGCGUGGGGAGCAAACA